Felis catus (domestic cat) is the source of this 85-nucleotide non-coding RNA. The record is from Rfam. Lineage: Eukaryota; Metazoa; Chordata; Mammalia; Carnivora; Felidae.
GCCUGGCUGGCUCAGUCGGCUGAGCGUCCAACUUCAGCUCAGGUCGUGAUCUCACAGUUCGUGGGUUCAAGCCCCGCGUCGGGCU